This is a non-coding RNA of Caenorhabditis elegans, 224 nucleotides long. Lineage: Eukaryota; Metazoa; Nematoda; Chromadorea; Rhabditida; Rhabditidae. The record is from Ensembl.
GCUGCUUUGGACUUAUUUGUUGCUCUUACGAGUAACGGUUUAGGGUAUUUUUUCAGGCGGUUCGGCAUUUCAAAAAAAAUCUCUAGAUUUGAUCGCUUUCUCGUGUCGCAGCCGAUACGAAAGAAGUUAAAUUGGGUCCGCUGAGACACAGAAAAAUGAUCAAAAACAAGAGAUUUUAGGUAAAAGUAGGCCAUUUUUUCGACAUGUUGAACUGACAUAAAAAA